UACAGAGACUGCAAGCGUUUAUUCGGAUUCACUGGGCGUAAAGGGUGCGCAGGCGGCCGAGUGUGUGAGGCGUGAAAGCCCGGGGCUUAACCCCGGAAUUGCACCUCAAACUACACGGCUAGAGCAUUGGAGAGGGUAGCAGAAUUCAUGGUGUAGCAGUGAAAUGCGUAGAUAUCAUGAGGAAUACCAGAGGCGAAGGCGGCUACCUGGACAAUUGCUGACGCUCAGGCACGAAAGCGUGGGGAGCAAACGGG
RNAcentral lists this ribosomal RNA (254 nucleotides) under uncultured bacterium. Its description in RNAcentral is "partial 16S ribosomal RNA". It matches the Rfam family "Bacterial small subunit ribosomal RNA", at positions 524 to 776 of the family's 1533-position model. The record is from RNAcentral.